ACUGGAAUAGGAAUUUCUUUAAGCACUAGUACAGUAUAACACACUGUAUUUCAAGUUUACACGUAUAUAUGCUCGUACAUGUAGAUGGAAUUGGUGUCAGGAUUAAAAGAUAUAAACUAUAUAUAAUGUAUAUUACUUAUUGUAAUGAAGUUCAUCAAAGCGGCCAUAUCCUGUUAUAAUUAAAAAGUAAUUGGUUUUGCCACGGAAGUGUAAAUAUCAUUCAGAUGAAAUUAGUGACUUAUUUAGCAAUUUAGAAUUUAAAUUUCAUUUUUGAUUAUAAUUCUUUGAACACAGAAGCUAUUUCCAUCAUUAUGUCAACUGAAAGGAUCCCAAAGAUUGGCCCCUGUAACGGAAGACCCUAUGGCUGUUGUCGUGGAACUUCUUGGAACGCCUCUCUUAAGAAAUGCACAGAAUGUAGACCAGGAUAUUUCGGUUUACACUGUGAGAUGCCCUGUGAAUAUCCAUAUUAUGGACCAUUUUGUCUUAAGAAAUGUUUCUGCACAGAAUCCAAAUGCAAUGUUUCAUUUUGAUGUUCACAUCAUUUCUCUGAAACCGUUUCAAUGACCACCACGAAUGGGAUGAUAGCUACAGAGGACAAUAUUUCUUUCAAAUCCACAAGUAUGGAUAUUUUUGAAUCAGUUUCAAACAACGACAGUAAUAACAUUCACGUCCCUACUUUAAUUCUAAUUGGUAUAUGUACAUCCUUCCUUGUUUUUUGUACAAUUUUACUGAUAUUGAUGAUUGUUAGAAAGUAUAAAAAGCACAAAUCAAACACAACUAACACAAGUGCCUGUCUUUAUCAGAGCUCAGUCAAUCAAUCGGAAUCAAGUUAUACGUAUCAGCGAUUGCAUUCAACUAAUAUAUUUUCCGGUGUUUCAAAUGUGACAAUAACCUACGAAAAGUCAUUAAAAACUUAUUCAAUUAAACUUCAGUCUGAAAACGAGGGAGAAAUUGCCACCAAUGAAAAUCUGGACAGCUAUUACGAUCAAUCGGAAGAAAUUAACGACAACAGGCACAUACUAAGCUCUGAAACAGACGGCGAUAGAUCGGUAUAUAACAUUGCAGAAGAAAUUGAAGAAACAGAAUUUAAUUGAUGGCAUGAAGAAAAAAAAACUGUUCAAUAGGUAUACCCUUGUGAGUAAAAUAUAACAAUACACAUUGAUGGUAGAGAAAAAGAGUCUAGAAACAUCAGAGGUGGGGUGAGGUGGGGAAGAUGACUAAGCGUUUCUUAUCAGUCAUUUAAUACCUUGUGAGCGCAUUCGUUUUCUUGAUUUGAUAUACCGAGAAAUCUAUCAGUAAAUAGAUUUCUUUAAUCUAUCUAUAUUCUUCUUUUUUUUUUACUACGAAAACAGUAUUUGUUUCCAUUUUAACUUUUUUCAAAUUGUUUCUUUGCUGUGUUUUGUACAA
This is a long non-coding RNA of Saccostrea cuccullata (small rock oyster), 1407 nucleotides long. RefSeq lists it as uncharacterized. The transcript has 4 exons. The record is from RefSeq and is a predicted model, not a curated record. NCBI's taxonomy places the organism in Eukaryota, Metazoa, Mollusca, Bivalvia, Ostreida, Ostreidae.